RNAcentral lists this ribosomal RNA (253 nucleotides) under uncultured bacterium. Its description in RNAcentral is "partial 16S ribosomal RNA". It matches the Rfam family "Bacterial small subunit ribosomal RNA", at positions 524 to 776 of the family's 1533-position model. The record is from RNAcentral.
UACGUAGGGUGCAAGCGUUGUCCGGAAUUAUUGGGCGUAAAGAGCUCGUAGGCGGUCUGUCACGUCGGCUGUGAAAACCCGAGGCUCAACCUCGGGCCUGCAGUCGAUACGGGCAAACUAGAGUACUGCAGGGGAGACUGGAAUUCCUGGUGUAGCGGUGAAAUGCGCAGAUAUCAGGAGGAACACCAAUGGCGAAGGCAGGUCUCUGGGCCACAACUGACGCUGAGGAGCGAAAGCGUGGGGAGCGAACAGG